This 261-nucleotide ribosomal RNA is filed under the name uncultured bacterium. RNAcentral describes it as "partial 16S ribosomal RNA". It matches the Rfam family "Bacterial small subunit ribosomal RNA", at positions 30 to 292 of the family's 1533-position model. The record is from RNAcentral.
AUUGAACGCUGGCGGCAUGCCUUACACAUGCAAGUCGAACGGUAACGCGGGGCAACCUGGCGACGAGUGGCGAACGGGUGAGUAAUAUAUCGGAACGUGCCCAGUAGUGGGGGAUAGCCCGGCGAAAGCCGGAUUAAUACCGCAUACGACCUACGGGUGAAAGGGGGGAGUCGCAAGACCUCUCGCUAUUGGAGCGGCCGAUAUCAGAUUAGCUAGUUGGUGGGGUAAAAGACUCACCAAGGCGACGAUCUGUAGCUGGUC